AAAGUAAGUUGAAAAAAAAAUUAAUGGGGCAUAGCGUAGUUCGGUAACGUACCAUCUUGGGGUGAUGACGAUCGUGGGUUCAAAUCCUACUGCUUAAA
RNAcentral lists this transfer RNA (98 nucleotides) under Plagiomnium novae-zealandiae. RNAcentral's name for it is "tRNA-Pro". The stretch from base 25 to 98 matches the Rfam family "tRNA". From Rfam's summary of the family: Transfer RNA (tRNA) molecules are approximately 80 nucleotides in length. Their secondary structure includes four short double-helical elements and three loops (D, anti-codon, and T loops). Further hydrogen bonds mediate the characteristic L-shaped molecular structure. tRNAs have two regions of fundamental functional importance: the anti-codon, which is responsible for specific mRNA codon recognition, and the 3' end, to which the tRNAs corresponding amino acid is attached (by aminoacyl-tRNA synthetases). tRNAs cope with the degeneracy of the genetic code in two manners: having more than one tRNA (with a specific anti-codon) for a particular amino acid; and 'wobble' base-pairing, i.e. permitting non-standard base-pairing at the 3rd anti-codon position. The record is from RNAcentral. Lineage: Eukaryota; Viridiplantae; Streptophyta; Bryopsida; Bryales; Mniaceae.